CUACGGGUCGCUGCAGUGAGGAAUAUUGCACAAUGGGGGGAACCCUGAUGCAGCAACGCCGCGUGGAGGAUGACGCAUUUCGGUGUGUAAACUCCUUUUAUAUGUCAAGAAAAUGACGGUAGCAUAUGAAUAAGCACCGGCUAACUCCGUGCCAGCAGCCGCGGUAAUACGGAGGGUGCAGGCGUUACUCGGAAUCACUGGGCGUAAAGGACGCGUAGGCGGGUUGGAAAGUCAGGUGUGAAAUCCUACAGCUUAACUGUAGAACUGCACUUGAAACUUCUAAUCUAGAGUAUGGGAGGGGGAGAUGGAAUUAGUAGUGUAGGGGUAAAAUCCGUAGAUAUCACUAGGAAUACCUAAAGCGAAGGCGAUCUCCUGGAACAUUACUGACGCUAAGGCGUGAAAGCGUGGGGAGCAAACAGGAUUAGAUACCCUCGUAGUC
RNAcentral lists this ribosomal RNA (439 nucleotides) under uncultured bacterium. Its description in RNAcentral is "partial 16S ribosomal RNA". It matches the Rfam family "Bacterial small subunit ribosomal RNA", at positions 339 to 795 of the family's 1533-position model. The record is from RNAcentral.